CCCCUCUCAGAGUCCACAUGGAGAGUUUCCAGGACUCUACCAGUCUCGGCAAAGGGAGGGAGAGUCAAGCAGAAACCGUACAUUCCAUUCCUAGCUUGAGCAGUGGCUAGCGAGUGGAAGGCAAUCUGCUACAAGU
Small nucleolar RNA from Ornithorhynchus anatinus (platypus), 136 nucleotides. The record is from RefSeq and is a predicted model, not a curated record. Lineage: Eukaryota; Metazoa; Chordata; Mammalia; Monotremata; Ornithorhynchidae.